Molecule: ribosomal RNA, 254 nt
Filed under: uncultured bacterium
Lineage: Bacteria
Description: partial 16S ribosomal RNA
Rfam family: Bacterial small subunit ribosomal RNA
Source: RNAcentral
UACAGAGGGUGCGAGCGUUGUUCGGAAUUACUGGGCGUAAAGGGCGCGUAGGCGGCAUAUUAAGUCAUCUGUGAAAUCUCCGAGCUUAACUCGGAACUGUCAGCUGAUACUGAUGUGCUAGAGUGCGGAAGGGGCAAUCGGAAUUCUUGGUGUAGCGGUGAAAUGCGUAGAUAUCAAGAGGAACACCUGAGGUGAAGACGGGUUGCUGGGCCGACACUGACGCUGAGUGCGCGAAAGCCAGGGGAGCAAACGGG